RNAcentral lists this ribosomal RNA (1429 nucleotides) under uncultured organism. RNAcentral describes it as "16S ribosomal RNA". It matches the Rfam family "Bacterial small subunit ribosomal RNA". The record is from RNAcentral.
GAUGAACGCUAGCGACAGGCUUAACACAUGCAAGUCGAGGGGCAGCGGGGGUAGCAAUACCCGCCGGCGACCGGCGCACGGGUGAGUAACGCGUAUGCAACUUACCUAUCAGAGGGGGAUAACCCGGCGAAAGUCGGACUAAUACCGCAUGAAGCAGGGAUCCCGCAUGGGAAUAUUUGCUAAAGAUUCAUCGCUGAUAGAUAGGCAUGCGUUCCAUUAGGCAGUUGGCGGGGUAACGGCCCACCAAACCGACGAUGGAUAGGGGUUCUGAGAGGAAGGUCCCCCACAUUGGUACUGAGACACGGACCAAACUCCUACGGGAGGCAGCAGUGAGGAAUAUUGGUCAAUGGCCGAGAGGCUGAACCAGCCAAGUCGCGUGAGGGAUGAAGGUUCUAUGGAUCGUAAACCUCUUUUAUAAGGGAAUAAAGUGCGGGACGUGUCCCGUUUUGUAUGUACCUUAUGAAUAAGAAUCGGCUAACUCCGUGCCAGCAGCCGCGGUAAUACGGAGGAUCCGAGCGUUAUCCGGAUUUAUUGGGUUUAAAGGGUGCGUAGGCGGCCUUUUAAGUCAGCGGUGAAAGUCCGUGGCUCAACCAUAGAAUUGCCGUUGAAACUGGGGGGCUUGAGUAUGUUUGAGGCAGGCGGAAUGCGUGGUGUAGCGGUGAAAUGCAUAGAUAUCACGCAGAACCCCGAUUGCGAAGGCAGCCUGCCAAGCCAUUACUGACGCUGAUGCACGAAAGCGUGGGGAUCAAACAGGAUUAGAUACCCUGGUAGUCCACGCAGUAAACGAUGAUCACUAGCUGUUUGCGAUACACUGUAAGCGGCACAGCGAAAGCGUUAAGUGAUCCACCUGGGGAGUACGCCGGCAACGGUGAAACUCAAAGGAAUUGACGGGGGCCCGCACAAGCGGAGGAACAUGUGGUUUAAUUCGAUGAUACGCGAGGAACCUUACCCGGGUUUGAACGCAUUCGGACCGAGGUGGAAACACCUUUUCUAGCAAUAGCCGUUUGCGAGGUGCUGCAUGGUUGUCGUCAGCUCGUGCCGUGAGGUGUCGGCUUAAGUGCCAUAACGAGCGCAACCCUUGCCACUAGUUACUAACAGGUAAAGCUGAGGACUCUGGUGGGACUGCCAGCGUAAGCUGCGAGGAAGGCGGGGAUGACGUCAAAUCAGCACGGCCCUUACAUCCGGGGCGACACACGUGUUACAAUGGCGUGGACAAAGGGAAGCCACCUGGCGACAGGGAGCGAAUCCCCAAACCACGUCUCAGUUCGGAUCGGAGUUUGCAACCCGACUCCGUGAAGCUGGAUUCGCUAGUAAUCGCGCAUCAGCCAUGGCGCGGUGAAUACGUUCCCGGGCCUUGUACACACCGCCCGUCAAGCCAUGGGAGCCGGGGGUACCUGAAGUCCGUAACCGCGAGGAUCGGCCUAGGGUA